UCUGAUGGCUCUUAAAUGCUGUGGAGACACUUUGCUGGGAGGGCGUGGAUCCACUUCUCACUCAAAAGCAAUUCAAAGCUGUUCUAACAUAUGUAAUGGUAAUUUUUCUUUUUAAUUUUUUACCCACUAUCCCUCCUCAGCACAUGUCCAAACCAUUUCAGCCUUGCUUCUCUGUCUUUGUCUCUAAAUCAUAGAUAAUUUUUGUUGGUCACCCCCCCCAAAAAAAUCUUAGCAUCUUCAAAACCUCCAGCUCCUGUUGGUCUCCAUCUCCAAACCAUACAUCAAAGAAAAUCUCACUACCAUCUUGUAAAUUCCCCAUUUCACUUUUGCUGCUCUCAUUGUGAUGCUCAUCUCCAACCACUCAACCUUGCUUGCACUCUCUUCUUUACUUCUGUCCACUAUCUUUGCUUUGGAUGAUUGACCACCAAAAUUGAAUUUGCUUUAAAUAUGUGUUUGGCUUUUUGGCCUUACGUUUUUUUCUUUUUUCCUUUUUUGUUAUGGGGGGUGGGAUCAGGGUUACUACAUGAAAUCUGUCAGUAGGUGGCAGAGUUUGCCAAGCACAGCGGUAAACGGUGGAGCAUGCUCCACUGUGUCCAUAUUUAUUAUCUUUUUUUCUUUCUAAAAGUCAUUAAAGAUCAGCUUGAGUUUGACAGUAAUAAUCUGUAUCUUCAGUAUCUGAAGGUGAGUCCUCACCAGGUCGGCAGGUUACUACAGGAUUCUCCAACAAUAAAAGCAUCACACCUAUAAAACAGGAGUAUAAAUAAAACAAACGCCAUUCUGUAUUUUAUGAAAGGGGACUCGGCUAUACUGUGUUAGGCUGAGUGUUACCCCAGUGCUUUACCUUGAUGACGCCGUGGUAUAGCCCCGGCAUGUGCGCUGACUGUUUUGCAUGACAUGUCAGCGCACCAAUCAGUUGCAGAGGAGCUGAUUGAGUCUACUUCCCUACACUGGAAUAGCUGAGGGGAAACGGACGGACGGCGAUCGCACACGGAUAUCUCAUCAUCAGCAGAGACUGUGCCGUCAGAUCGCAUCUGAGAGACCUCCUAGAUACAGCGGGCCAUCGUUUCUCUUUCGACCCGGUCACAGUGUCUGCUGCAGGGAGAUGGCCGGUAUUCUGGCGUGGUUUUGGAAUGAGAGAUUCUGGCUCCCUCACAAUGUAACCUGGGCUGACUUAAAAAACACAGAUGAAGCAACGUUUCCGCAAGCCGAGGAUCUCUAUCUGGCUUGUCCUUUAGCAUUCUGCAUCUUUAUGAUACGACUGGUUUUCGAAAGGUUUAUUGCCAGACCAUGUGCCAUGGGCCUGAAGAUCCAGACUAACGGGCCGCAAAAAGCACAACCCAAUGCCAUCCUGGAGAAGGUCUUCACUGCUAUAACCAAGCACCCAGAUGAGAAGAGGCUGGAGGGUCUCUCCAAGCAGCUCGACUGGGAUGUGCGGACCAUCCAGCGCUGGUUCAGACAACGACGCAACCAAGAGAAGCCCAGCACUCUCGCCAGAUUCUGUGAGAGCAUGUGGAGAUUUACAUUCUACUUAUACAUAUUUACCUACGGAGUACGAUUCCUUAAAAAGACUCCAUGGUUAUGGAACACUAAAGAGUGCUGGUACAACUACCCUUACCAGCCACUGACUGUGGACAUCCAUUAUUACUAUAUACUGGAGCUGUCUUUCUAUCUGUCGUUGCUAUUUUCCCAAUUCACAGACAUCAGGAGGAAGGAUUUCCUGAUCAUGUUCCUGCACCAUGUGGCAACAAUCUCUCUGAUUGUAUUCUCCUAUGUGAACAACAUGGCACGAGUGGGAACUCUGGUCAUGUGUCUCCACGAUGCAGCUGACGUGCUGAUAGAGGCUGCCAAGAUGGCCAACUAUGCCAAAUGUCAGAUACUGUGCAACUUGCUAUUUGCAAUGUUUGCUAUUCUCUUCAUAAGCUCCAGGCUGGGAGUUUACCCCAUCUGGAUUUUAAAUACCACCUUGUUUGAGAGUUGGGAGAUUAUAGGGCCCUACCCAUCCUGGUGGGUCUUCAACCUGCUUCUGAUCAUGCUGCAGCUGCUCCACUCCUUCUGGUCCUACCUCAUAGUGAAGACAGCAUGCAGAGCCAUCUCCAAAGGAAAGGUGGGGAAGUGGAAUCCGUUACAUUCCCUGAGGGGGAAAACUCCAUGCUUUUCCUGUACCACCCUUUUGCAACUUCCUCUGAAAUAUCUGAACCUCUACAGGAUGGAUUGACUCAUAAUUGUGGACAGACAUUUGGGUUCCCUAGACAAUCAACCCAAUUAGGUGUCUAAAGAUGACCGCAGCGACAUCGAGUCCAGCUCUGAUGAGGAUGACAGCCCACCGCCAAAUCAGAAGCACCACACCAGCGCCACCAAUGGGACAAACAAAAAUCACGGCACCAACGGCUACCUGAUGGGAG
Oreochromis aureus is the source of this 2402-nucleotide RNA transcript. It is a transcript of the gene named ceramide synthase 6, with no coding region annotated. The record is from RefSeq and is a predicted model, not a curated record. The transcript has 12 exons. Lineage: Eukaryota; Metazoa; Chordata; Actinopteri; Cichliformes; Cichlidae.